GAGGGGAUAGCUCAGUGGUAGAGUGCUUGCCUGGCAUGCAUAAGGUCCUGGGUUCAAUCCCCAGUACCUUCA
Molecule: transfer RNA, 72 nt
Filed under: Camelus ferus (Wild Bactrian camel)
Lineage: Eukaryota; Metazoa; Chordata; Mammalia; Artiodactyla; Camelidae
Rfam family: tRNA
About the family: Transfer RNA (tRNA) molecules are approximately 80 nucleotides in length. Their secondary structure includes four short double-helical elements and three loops (D, anti-codon, and T loops).
Source: Rfam by way of RNAcentral